UAAACCAUGAGUAAGCCGAAAAAUUUGAAUUGCAUCUGCCCUGUUUUCACGAGCACGUAGAUCUGGUAUUUUGAGUAUUUCAAGACGUUGUUCAUAUGAAACUUGUGUUAAACAGUGUGUCCAUCUAGUUACCAGGUGCUGAGUUCUUUCCAGCAAAUCAAUAUCCUUUAACAAAUAAGGUCUCCAGACUGGAAUGGCAAAUUCCAAAUGCGGCCUUAUGUAAGUGAUGUACACCUUUGAAAUAAAACUGACUGAAGGAUUUGGAAAAACAUGCUUUAGCAAAUAAAACAUUUUACGCGCUCGACCCACUGAUGCUAGACAUUGCUCUGACCAUCCUAACUUAUCAUUUACAAUGACCCCUAGAUCUUUGGUUGAGGUUUUUACACUCAGGAGUGUGCCAUUUAUAUGGUAAAGGUACUUUGGGUUGUUGUGGCCACACUGAAGUACACAGCAUUUUGCAAUAUUCAGUGGUAUUUGCCACUUCUCGCUCCAUUGGAAAAUUAAAUUAAGUUGGUCUUGCAAGUCCGUGACAAGUGGGUUAGCAAAUAACUUAAUAUCAUCCGCAUAUGCUGAAUAGCUGUCUAGUGAAAACAAUAAAUCUGCUGUAUAUAACAAGAAUAAAAUUGGUCCAAGAACUGAUCCCUGUGGGACCCCACUUAAUACUGGUUUAGAGUACGAAAAUUUACCGCAGACUUUUACACAAUAGUUUCGAUUUGAUAGAAACGCUCGGAUCCAAUCAAGCAAAUUUCCUGUUACACCAUAGGACUCCAGUUUUGCUAACAAGAGAUUGUGAGGGACUUUAUCAAAGGCUUUACUAAAAUCAAGAUUUGUGCAGGAUAGCAAAUUUGUGACAACUGACCUACCUGGUAAAAAGCCGUGCUGAUGCUCAGCAUGUCGACGUGAGACUUACAGGUCUAUAGUUAGCAGGAUCAAGUUUAUCUCCUGACUUGUACAAAGGCGUGAUUGUUGCUUGCAACCACUCGUAGGGCAAAGUGCCUUGUAAGAAUGAUUUUCUCAUCAUUUUGGCAAGUGGGCCCGACAACGAAGCAUCACAAGUUCUCAGGAGUUUGGGAGGUAUCUGAUCCGGACCUGGAGCUGUAUUUAAUUUAAUGGCACAGAGUUGGCUUUUUACCAGAUCCGGAGUAAAAUUAAUAUAAGACAACCCACUA
Long non-coding RNA from Tribolium castaneum (red flour beetle), 1169 nucleotides. RefSeq lists it as uncharacterized. The record is from RefSeq and is a predicted model, not a curated record. Lineage: Eukaryota; Metazoa; Arthropoda; Insecta; Coleoptera; Tenebrionidae. The transcript has 3 exons.